GGGCGCGGUGGCGGCGAGCGGGGAGCGGCGGGGCCUGGAGCGCUGGCGGUGGUCGGAGGUUUCCAUGUGCAAGGCUCCAGCCCAGACCAAUGACACUGCUUAUCUAUGAUUGUCAAAAUGCCAGCUAUCACCAGUGAAGAACUCCAGGUGGCACAAAUACUAUGACCUGUCUCCUAACAGAUCUCAGGAGUUCAACCAAUCUACAAAGGCCAAAAAUAUUUUCACAGGCCCCCAAAAGAUGAACUCCAAUCUGCUGCCCCUAAACGCAUUCUCCACUGUCUGGAAGAUGUGCAAAGGCAACGGCACAGCGUUCUCCAUCUCAAAUCCUUCAAAGUGCUGUCAGAAUAAAAGAAUCCCCACCAAAAGCCCCAGGGAAAUCUAUCUGUCUGUAUGGUAUGGUAAUGACUGAGGUUAUUCCAGAUAGGAUUCUGGGAGAAACUCAGCUAUUGAAAUCUAAUGAAUGGAACUGAGAAUUUCUUGUUAUAAUACUGUUUGUUUGAUUGAAUAUAUCCUUGCAUAUAGGAAGACAUAAAAAUAAAUAAUAAAAGCAAGAUAUUAUUUG
RNAcentral lists this long non-coding RNA (562 nucleotides) under Homo sapiens (human). Its description in RNAcentral is "long intergenic non-protein coding RNA 1013". The record is from RNAcentral. Lineage: Eukaryota; Metazoa; Chordata; Mammalia; Primates; Hominidae.